This is a long non-coding RNA of Heterocephalus glaber (naked mole-rat), 667 nucleotides long. Lineage: Eukaryota; Metazoa; Chordata; Mammalia; Rodentia; Bathyergidae. The record is from Ensembl.
GGUCACCAACAAAUAGGCAAUCAGAAAAAGUUAAUGGUGGUCUAUGAAUGGGUACAGAGCCUAUCAAGAGGGAGGCAGCAGAGCCAGGUGGUAGAAAGUCAGACAGAUGCAGCUCUGGGUGUGGAUAUUGGGAAGGCCCAUCUUGGGUGGUGCCAACCAAUAGGCUUGUAGCCUGUGUGGAAUAAAAGGACAGAGAAGGCUCCCUGUUUGGCUGCUUUCUCCCUGCCACACCAGGAAUUAUUUCUCCACUGCCAUGCUGCCCUGCCUUGGAGCCAGCUGACUAUGGAUUGGAACCUCUACAAACUUCACAAUGAUGCGCUCUUUUUUAAUGGAUGAGGAAACUGGAGCUCAGGGUUUGAGUCACUGACCUAAGUGAUCACCAACUGCUGUGGCUCAGAGUGCCCUGCCGGAGGACCAAAAUAAUGAGUCCAAAUGGAUCUGCCUGACCUUGAACUGGAGCCUCCAAAAUUCUGAGCAUAAAUAAAAUGUUUUUCUCUAUAAGUUGCUUACGUCAGAGAUUUCUUUAUGGUGAUGGAAAGCAGACUAAUACAUCACCAGAGAAUGGUCAAUGGAUUGGUGAUACCCUGAUAAACAAUACUCAGUUUGUUCAAUACUGCAUCCUCAGCUCUUAACGUAGCAUUUGGUAGAUAGCAACCUCUAAUACAUC